GUUUGGUGCCAUGACUUGAAGAGGACUAGAAGCUCACUUCCUGACCACCUCCUCCACCCGGGUACCGAGGCCUCCAGCCCACUGUGUUCCUCCCUGACUGGUGAUUCGGGGAUCUGGACAUGCAAAGUUUCAUAAAAUGUACCUGUCAUGCAUCCAUUUGCAAGGAUGUGCUCCCCACAAAAUGAAGGGGUAAGCCAAGGAAGAUGAAGACACAAGCUCCAGGAAACAGAUCUGACCCAAGAGAGAAGUCAAGGGGAUUUCCUGGGAGAUGGUGAAGGGAAGACACCAAGGUAACAGCUCUGUAUCAAACUGAGAAAGACACCAGUCCAGACUUUAGCAAGUCAAGCUCCAGGAGAGAUUUCUUCAAAGAGAAGACAGUGAUGCCCAGAAGUGAGAGCAGCCCCACCUAUUACUGGCUAUUUACUGUGUAAACCUGGGCCAAAUGGUUUUCCCCUAUGCCCCAGUUUUCUCCUCUAUGACAU
This 482-nucleotide long non-coding RNA is filed under the name Pan troglodytes (chimpanzee). RNAcentral describes it as "long non-coding RNA NONPTRT018459". The record is from RNAcentral. Lineage: Eukaryota; Metazoa; Chordata; Mammalia; Primates; Hominidae.